AUCUUUGUGGAGUAAUGCAACUCGCUCCCACCUGUUAUAUGGGCGCAGUUACGGGAGAGCCGGUGGUUCAAAUCCACCCAAAGACA
This is a non-coding RNA of Mycena rebaudengoi, 86 nucleotides long. NCBI's taxonomy places the organism in Eukaryota, Fungi, Basidiomycota, Agaricomycetes, Agaricales, Mycenaceae. The record is from the annotation of a GenBank genome assembly.